Molecule: non-coding RNA, 73 nt
Organism: Potamilus streckersoni
Lineage: Eukaryota; Metazoa; Mollusca; Bivalvia; Unionida; Unionidae
Source: the annotation of a GenBank genome assembly
GCCCCCGUGGUUUAGUGGUUAGAACUUCCGCCUUGGAUGCGGGAGGUAAUGGGUUCAAUCCCCGGUCGAGUCA